Molecule: ribosomal RNA, 305 nt
Filed under: uncultured bacterium
Lineage: Bacteria
Description: bacterial SSU rRNA
Rfam family: Bacterial small subunit ribosomal RNA
Source: RNAcentral
UCCUACGGGGGGCAGCAGUGAGGAAUAUUGGUCAAUGGCCGGAAGGCUGAACCAGCCAAGCCGCGUGAAGGACGAAGGUGCCAAGCAUUGUAAACUUCUUUUGUCAAGGGACAAAAUCAGGCUCGAGAGCCUGACCGAGGGUACUUGAAGAAAAAGCAUCGGCUAACUCCGUGCCAGCAGCCGCGGUAAUACGUAGGGGGCAAGCGUUAUCCGGAUUUACUGGGUGUAAAGGGAGCGUAGACGGCAGGGCAAGUCUGGAGUGAAAGCCCGGGGCCCAACCCCGGGACUGCUUUGGAAACUGCCAU